AGAUGAUACCUCUGGAGAAGCGCGUGACCUGACCCCAGCAGAACCCAACCCGCUUUUCCGCCUAGAUGUCUCUAU
Molecule: microRNA precursor, 75 nt
Filed under: Drosophila yakuba
Lineage: Eukaryota; Metazoa; Arthropoda; Insecta; Diptera; Drosophilidae
Description: Dya-Mir-967_pre stem-loop
Source: RNAcentral